This 687-nucleotide ribosomal RNA is filed under the name Triticum aestivum (bread wheat). Its description in RNAcentral is "partial small subunit ribosomal RNA". Lineage: Eukaryota; Viridiplantae; Streptophyta; Magnoliopsida; Poales; Poaceae. The record is from RNAcentral.
AUGUUGACCUCAAGACAGGCUGAUCGGGAGCUGAAGAAGUUUGAGGAAGCACAACAGCCAUCGGCUGCGGAUUUUAUGCGUUUGAUCCAGUCGCAACAGGAGAGAUAUUUCAACAUUUCAUCUUUGCUCCUUUCCAUUACAAAAGAGGACGGCAAGUCUGAAACAAAGGUUCCGCCCGACAAGCAAUCCUUUCACUCAAUAUCAAUAAGGUGUGAUGAUGGAGCCGUCUUGGAAAUUUUAAUACGUGAAAACGAUAACUAUGUUGUUGGUUUUCGUGUAUAUCUCAACAUCGAGGCUAGGAAUGAAACCCCGUGGAGAACCUUUGGUGUGAAGUUGCCUAGCCGAUUGUGGGUAUCUGAGCCAACAAAGUAUAAGUCUCAACAUGGGGAACUGGAAAAGGUGCAAUUUGGUCAAGGAAUUCUCUUGAAAAUUGUCGAUUUUCUUAAAGAUCUUCAACGUCAUCCUGACCAAGAAAUGACAGACUUAGGCCAGAGAUAUGUUUGCACACUCUUCCUCUUGUUUGGCGAGGCACAGAGAUUUGCCAAGGCCAGGCAGUGGGUUCUUGAUGCUGUUGACAGUCCCAUUGCGUUGACGAACCUGUAUGGAGUUGUCAAAGACAGGAAUGGAGUUGUAUGUGGCUAUGUGGGAGGAAAGGAAUUUGUUGUUCAAGUACAAAGGAAGGUUUGA